RNAcentral lists this ribosomal RNA (666 nucleotides) under Primorskyibacter sp. RNAcentral describes it as "bacterial SSU rRNA". It matches the Rfam family "Bacterial small subunit ribosomal RNA", at positions 77 to 783 of the family's 1533-position model. The record is from RNAcentral. Lineage: Bacteria; Pseudomonadati; Pseudomonadota; Alphaproteobacteria; Rhodobacterales; Roseobacteraceae.
CCUUCGGGGCGAGCGAGCGGACGGGUUAGUAACGCGUGGGAAUGUACCCAGAUCUACGGAAUAGCCUCGGGAAACUGAGAGUAAUACCGUAUACGCCCUUCGGGGGAAAGAUUUAUCGGAUUUGGAUCAGCCCGCGUUAGAUUAGAUAGUUGGUGGGGUAAUGGCCUACCAAGUCUACGAUCUAUAGCUGGUUUUAGAGGAUGAUCAGCAACACUGGGACUGAGACACGGCCCAGACUCCUACGGGAGGCAGCAGUGGGGAAUCUUAGACAAUGGGCGCAAGCCUGAUCUAGCCAUGCCGCGUGUGUGAUGAAGGCCUUAGGGUCGUAAAGCACUUUCGCCAGAGAUGAUAAUGACAGUAUCUGGUAAAGAAACCCCGGCUAACUCCGUGCCAGCAGCCGCGGUAAUACGGAGGGGGUUAGCGUUGUUCGGAAUUACUGGGCGUAAAGCGCGCGUAGGCGGACUGGAAAGUAUGGGGUGAAAUCCCGGGGCUCAACCCCGGAACUGCCUCAUAAACUAUCAGUCUAGAGUUCGAGAGAGGUGAGUGGAAUUCCGAGUGUAGAGGUGAAAUUCGUAGAUAUUCGGAGGAACACCAGUGGCGAAGGCGGCUCACUGGCUCGAUACUGACGCUGAGGUGCGAAAGUGUGGGGAGCAAACAGGAUUAGAU